UCGGGUCGGCAUGGCAUCUCCACCUCCUCGCGGUCCGACCUGGGCAUCCGAAGGAGGACGCACGUCCACUCGGAUGGCUAAGGGAGAGCCACU
This 93-nucleotide ribozyme is filed under the name Hepatitis delta virus. RNAcentral describes it as "Hepatitis delta virus ribozyme". It matches the Rfam family "Hepatitis delta virus ribozyme". From Rfam's summary of the family: The ribozyme acts to process the RNA transcripts to unit lengths in a self cleavage reaction. The ribozyme is found to be active in vivo in the absence of any protein factors and is the fastest known naturally occurring self-cleaving RNA. The record is from Rfam by way of RNAcentral. RNAcentral also lists the same sequence under 1 other name. Lineage: Ribozyviria; Kolmioviridae.